AAAGGGACAGAAAAGAAAUACAAACUCU
This 28-nucleotide non-coding RNA is filed under the name Cricetulus griseus (Chinese hamster). Lineage: Eukaryota; Metazoa; Chordata; Mammalia; Rodentia; Cricetidae. The record is from RNAcentral.